CAACUUACAUGGCUAGGGGAUAGAUACCAUGAUCAAGAAGGUGGUCACACAGGGCGAGGCUUAACAUGGCACUUUCCGGUUAUGCUGACCCCUGCGAAUUCCCCAAAAUGUGGGACUCUCGGACUGAUAAUUUUGUGGGGUAGUAGGGGACUGCCGUUCGCGCCUCCCCUGA
Etheostoma spectabile (orangethroat darter) is the source of this 172-nucleotide small nuclear RNA. RefSeq annotates it as U1 spliceosomal RNA. NCBI's taxonomy places the organism in Eukaryota, Metazoa, Chordata, Actinopteri, Perciformes, Percidae. The transcript has a single exon. The record is from RefSeq and is a predicted model, not a curated record.